This 253-nucleotide ribosomal RNA is filed under the name uncultured bacterium. Its description in RNAcentral is "partial 16S ribosomal RNA". It matches the Rfam family "Bacterial small subunit ribosomal RNA", at positions 524 to 776 of the family's 1533-position model. The record is from RNAcentral.
UACGUAGGGGGCUAGCGUUGUCCGGAAUUAUUGGGCGUAAAGAGCUCGUAGGCGGUUUGUCACGUCUGCUGUGAAAACUGGAGGCUCAACCUCCAGCCUGCAGUGGGUACGGGCAGACUAGAGUGCGGUAGGGGAGAUUGGAAUUCCUGGUGUAGCGGUGGAAUGCGCAGAUAUCAGGAGGAACACCGAUGGCGAAGGCAGAUCUCUGGGCCGUAACUGACGCUGAGGAGCGAAAGCAUGGGGAGCGAACAGG